RNAcentral lists this ribosomal RNA (2548 nucleotides) under Escherichia coli. Its description in RNAcentral is "partial 23S ribosomal RNA". It matches the Rfam family "Bacterial large subunit ribosomal RNA", at positions 397 to 2925 of the family's 2925-position model. The record is from RNAcentral. RNAcentral also lists the same sequence under 1 other name. Lineage: Bacteria; Pseudomonadati; Pseudomonadota; Gammaproteobacteria; Enterobacterales; Enterobacteriaceae.
CUGUGAGCUCGAUGAGUAGGGCGGGACACGUGGUAUCCUGUCUGAAUAUGGGGGGACCAUCCUCCAAGGCUAAAUACUCCUGACUGACCGAUAGUGAACCAGUACCGUGAGGGAAAGGCGAAAAGAACCCCGGCGAGGGGAGUGAAAAAGAACCUGAAACCGUGUACGUACAAGCAGUGGGAGCACGCUUAGGCGUGUGACUGCGUACCUUUUGUAUAAUGGGUCAGCGACUUAUAUUCUGUAGCAAGGUUAACCGAAUAGGGGAGCCGAAGGGAAACCGAGUCUUAACUGGGCGUUAAGUUGCAGGGUAUAGACCCGAAACCCGGUGAUCUAGCCAUGGGCAGGUUGAAGGUUGGGUAACACUAACUGGAGGACCGAACCGACUAAUGUUGAAAAAUUAGCGGAUGACUUGUGGCUGGGGGUGAAAGGCCAAUCAAACCGGGAGAUAGCUGGUUCUCCCCGAAAGCUAUUUAGGUAGCGCCUCGUGAAUUCAUCUCCGGGGGUAGAGCACUGUUUCGGCAAGGGGGUCAUCCCGACUUACCAACCCGAUGCAAACUGCGAAUACCGGAGAAUGUUAUCACGGGAGACACACGGCGGGUGCUAACGUCCGUCGUGAAGAGGGAAACAACCCAGACCGCCAGCUAAGGUCCCAAAGUCAUGGUUAAGUGGGAAACGAUGUGGGAAGGCCCAGACAGCCAGGAUGUUGGCUUAGAAGCAGCCAUCAUUUAAAGAAAGCGUAAUAGCUCACUGGUCGAGUCGGCCUGCGCGGAAGAUGUAACGGGGCUAAACCAUGCACCGAAGCUGCGGCAGCGACGCUUAUGCGUUGUUGGGUAGGGGAGCGUUCUGUAAGCCUGUGAAGGUGUGCUGUGAGGCAUGCUGGAGGUAUCAGAAGUGCGAAUGCUGACAUAAGUAACGAUAAAGCGGGUGAAAAGCCCGCUCGCCGGAAGACCAAGGGUUCCUGUCCAACGUUAAUCGGGGCAGGGUGAGUCGACCCCUAAGGCGAGGCCGAAAGGCGUAGUCGAUGGGAAACAGGUUAAUAUUCCUGUACUUGGUGUUACUGCGAAGGGGGGACGGAGAAGGCUAUGUUGGCCGGGCGACGGUUGUCCCGGUUUAAGCGUGUAGGCUGGUUUUCCAGGCAAAUCCGGAAAAUCAAGGCUGAGGCGUGAUGACGAGGCACUACGGUGCUGAAGCAACAAAUGCCCUGCUUCCAGGAAAAGCCUCUAAGCAUCAGGUAACAUCAAAUCGUACCCCAAACCGACACAGGUGGUCAGGUAGAGAAUACCAAGGCGCUUGAGAGAACUCGGGUGAAGGAACUAGGCAAAAUGGUGCCGUAACUUCGGGAGAAGGCACGCUGAUAUGUAGGUGAAGUCCCUCGCGGAUGGAGCUGAAAUCAGUCGAAGAUACCAGCUGGCUGCAACUGUUUAUUAAAAACACAGCACUGUGCAAACACGAAAGUGGACGUAUACGGUGUGACGCCUGCCCGGUGCCGGAAGGUUAAUUGAUGGGGUUAGCGCAAGCGAAGCUCUUGAUCGAAGCCCCGGUAAACGGCGGCCGUAACUAUAACGGUCCUAAGGUAGCGAAAUUCCUUGUCGGGUAAGUUCCGACCUGCACGAAUGGCGUAAUGAUGGCCAGGCUGUCUCCACCCGAGACUCAGUGAAAUUGAACUCGCUGUGAAGAUGCAGUGUACCCGCGGCAAGACGGAAAGACCCCGUGAACCUUUACUAUAGCUUGACACUGAACAUUGAGCCUUGAUGUGUAGGAUAGGUGGGAGGCUUUGAAGUGUGGACGCCAGUCUGCAUGGAGCCGACCUUGAAAUACCACCCUUUAAUGUUUGAUGUUCUAACGUUGACCCGUAAUCCGGGUUGCGGACAGUGUCUGGUGGGUAGUUUGACUGGGGCGGUCUCCUCCUAAAGAGUAACGGAGGAGCACGAAGGUUGGCUAAUCCUGGUCGGACAUCAGGAGGUUAGUGCAAUGGCAUAAGCCAGCUUGACUGCGAGCGUGACGGCGCGAGCAGGUGCGAAAGCAGGUCAUAGUGAUCCGGUGGUUCUGAAUGGAAGGGCCAUCGCUCAACGGAUAAAAGGUACUCCGGGGAUAACAGGCUGAUACCGCCCAAGAGUUCAUAUCGACGGCGGUGUUUGGCACCUCGAUGUCGGCUCAUCACAUCCUGGGGCUGAAGUAGGUCCCAAGGGUAUGGCUGUUCGCCAUUUAAAGUGGUACGCGAGCUGGGUUUAGAACGUCGUGAGACAGUUCGGUCCCUAUCUGCCGUGGGCGCUGGAGAACUGAGGGGGGCUGCUCCUAGUACGAGAGGACCGGAGUGGACGCAUCACUGGUGUUCGGGUUGUCAUGCCAAUGGCACUGCCCGGUAGCUAAAUGCGGAAGAGAUAAGUGCUGAAAGCAUCUAAGCACGAAACUUGCCCCGAGAUGAGUUCUCCCUGACUCCUUGAGAGUCCUGAAGGAACGUUGAAGACGACGACGUUGAUAGGCCGGGUGUGUAAGCGCAGCGAUGCGUUGAGCUAACCGGUACUAAUGAACCGUGAGGCUUAACCUU